GGCUGGGUAGCAAAGUGGUUAUGCAGAGGCCUGCAAAGCCUUGGAUGCCGGUUCGAUUCCGGCCUCAGCCUCCA
RNAcentral lists this transfer RNA (74 nucleotides) under Francisella sp. TX07-6608. RNAcentral's name for it is "Francisella sp. TX076608 tRNA-Cys". It matches the Rfam family "tRNA". From Rfam's summary of the family: Transfer RNA (tRNA) molecules are approximately 80 nucleotides in length. Their secondary structure includes four short double-helical elements and three loops (D, anti-codon, and T loops). Further hydrogen bonds mediate the characteristic L-shaped molecular structure. tRNAs have two regions of fundamental functional importance: the anti-codon, which is responsible for specific mRNA codon recognition, and the 3' end, to which the tRNAs corresponding amino acid is attached (by aminoacyl-tRNA synthetases). tRNAs cope with the degeneracy of the genetic code in two manners: having more than one tRNA (with a specific anti-codon) for a particular amino acid; and 'wobble' base-pairing, i.e. permitting non-standard base-pairing at the 3rd anti-codon position. Lineage: Bacteria; Pseudomonadati; Pseudomonadota; Gammaproteobacteria; Thiotrichales; Francisellaceae. The record is from RNAcentral.